Molecule: ribosomal RNA, 761 nt
Filed under: Salmonella enterica
Lineage: Bacteria; Pseudomonadati; Pseudomonadota; Gammaproteobacteria; Enterobacterales; Enterobacteriaceae
Description: partial 23S ribosomal RNA
Rfam family: Bacterial large subunit ribosomal RNA
Source: RNAcentral
GCCAGUCUGCAUGGAGCCGACCUUGAAAUACCACCCUUUAAUGUUUGAUGUUCUAACGUGGACCCGUGAUCCGGGUUGCGGACAGUGUCUGGUGGGUAGUUUGACUGGGGCGGUCUCCUCCUAAAGAGUAACGGAGGAGCACGAAGGUUGGCUAAUCCUGGUCGGACAUCAGGAGGUUAGUGCAAUGGCAUAAGCCAGCUUGACUGCGAGCGUGACGGCGCGAGCAGGUGCGAAAGCAGGUCAUAGUGAUCCGGUGGUUCUGAAUGGAAGGGCCAUCGCUCAACGGAUAAAAGGUACUCCGGGGAUAACAGGCUGAUACCGCCCAAGAGUUCAUAUCGACGGCGGUGUUUGGCACCUCGAUGUCGGCUCAUCACAUCCUGGGGCUGAAGUAGGUCCCAAGGGUAUGGCUGUUCGCCAUUUAAAGUGGUACGCGAGCUGGGUUUAGAACGUCGUGAGACAGUUCGGUCCCUAUCUGCCGUGGGCGCUGGAGAACUGAGGGGGGCUGCUCCUAGUACGAGAGGACCGGAGUGGACGCAUCACUGGUGUUCGGGUUGUCAUGCCAAUGGCACUGCCCGGUAGCUAAAUGCGGAAGAGAUAAGUGCUGAAAGCAUCUAAGCACGAAACUUGCCCCGAGAUGAGUUCUCCCUGAGACUUUAGGUCUCCUGAAGGAACGUUGAAGACGACGACGUUGAUAGGCCGGGUGUGUAAGCGCAGCGAUGCGUUGAGCUAACCGGUACUAAUGAACCGUGAGGCUUAACCUU